GACGAACGCUGGCGGCGUGCUUAACACAUGCAAGUCGAACGGAAAGACCCUGCUUUUGUGGGGUGCUCGAGUGGCGAACGGGUGAGUAACACGUGAGUAACCUGCCCUUGACUUUGGGAUAACUUCAGGAAACUGGGGCUAAUACCGGGUAGGAGCUCCUGCUGCAUGGUGGGGGUUGGAAAGUUUCGGCGGUUGGGGAUGGACUCGCGGCUUAUCAGCUUGUUGGUGGGGUAGUGGCUUUCCAAGGCUUUGACGGGUAGCCGGCCUGAGAGGGUGACCGGCCACAUUGGGACUGAGAUACGGCCCAGACUCCUACGGGAGGCAGCAGUGGGGAAUAUUGCACAAUGGGCGGAAGCCUGAUGCAGCAACGCCGCGUGCGGGAUGACGGCCUUCGGGUUGUAAACCGCUUUCGCCUGUGACGAAGCGUGAGUGACGGUAAUGGGUAAAGAAGCACCGGCUAACUACGUG
This 468-nucleotide ribosomal RNA is filed under the name uncultured bacterium. RNAcentral describes it as "partial 16S ribosomal RNA". It matches the Rfam family "Bacterial small subunit ribosomal RNA", at positions 28 to 507 of the family's 1533-position model. The record is from RNAcentral.